Molecule: non-coding RNA, 30 nt
Filed under: Rattus norvegicus (Norway rat)
Lineage: Eukaryota; Metazoa; Chordata; Mammalia; Rodentia; Muridae
Source: RNAcentral
UCCUAGCAUAGCACUCGAGAUGCAUAGGCC